This 500-nucleotide ribosomal RNA is filed under the name uncultured Acaulospora. Its description in RNAcentral is "SSU rRNA". It matches the Rfam family "Eukaryotic small subunit ribosomal RNA", at positions 569 to 1071 of the family's 1831-position model. The record is from RNAcentral. Lineage: Eukaryota; Fungi; Glomeromycota; Glomeromycetes; Diversisporales; Acaulosporaceae.
AGCAGCCGCGGUAAUUCCAGCUCCAAUAGCGUAUAUUAAAGUUGUUGCAGUUAAAAAGCUCGUAGUUGAAUUUCGGAAUCUGUCCGUUGGUCGGGCUUAACUGUCCGUACUGAUGUGAUGGGUUCUUACCUUCUGAAUAACCAUCAUGCCAUUAAUUUGGUGUGUUGGGGAAGCAGGACUAUUACCUUGAAAAAAUUAGAGUGCUCAAAGCAGGCUAGCGCCUGAAUACAUUAGCAUGGAAUAAUAAAAUAGGACGGCAUGGUUCUAUUUUGUUGGUUUCUAGGAUCACCGUAAUGAUUAAUAGGGAUAGUUGGGGGCAUUAGUAUUCAAUUGUCAGAGGUGAAAUUCUUGGAUUUAUUGAAGACUAACUUCUGCGAAAGCAUUUGCCAAGGAUGUUUUCAUUAAUCAAGAACGAAAGUUAGGGGAUCGAAGACGAUCAGAUACCGUCGUAGUCUUAACCAUAAACUAUGCCGACUAGGGAUCGGACGAUGUUAAUUUUA